Molecule: ribosomal RNA, 373 nt
Filed under: uncultured organism
Description: partial 16S ribosomal RNA
Rfam family: Bacterial small subunit ribosomal RNA
Source: RNAcentral
GUAGGUGGCAAGCGUUGUCCGGAAUUAUUGGGCGUAAAGCGCGCGCAGGCGGUUCUUUGAGUCUGAUGUGAAAGCCCACGGCUCAGCCGUGGAGGGUCAUUGGAAACUGGAGAACUUGAGUACAGAAGAGGAAAGCGGAAUUCCACGUGUAGCGGUGAAAUGCGUAGAGAUGUGGAGGAGCACCAGUGGCGAAGGCGGCUUUCUGGUCUGUAACUGACGCUGAGGCGCGAAAGCGUGGGGGGAGCAAACAGGAUUAGAUACCCUGGUAGUCCACGCCGUAAACGAUGAGUGCUAAGUGUUAGGGGGUUUCCCGCCCCUUAGUGCUGCAGCUAACGCAUUAAGCACUCCGCCUGGGAGUACGGCCGCAAGGCUG